AGUGAACGCUGGCGGUAGGCCUAACACAUGCAAGUCGAACGGCAGCACAGUAAGAGCUGGCCUUAAGGGGGGCGAGGGGCGGGAGGGGGGGGAAAAACUCGGAAUCCAACUUUUCCGGGGGGGUUAAGGAAGGGAAAUUACGCCAAUACCACAAUAGAACUACCGGGGAAAGGAAGGGGUUUUCGGAACUUGCGGGAAUGGAAUAAGCCGAUGUCGGAUUAGCUAGUUGGCGGGGUAAAGGCCCACCAAGGCGACGAUCCGUAGCUGGUCUGAGAGGAUGAUCAGCCACACUGGAACUGAGACACGGUCCAGACUCCUACGGGAGGCAGCAGUGGGGAAUAUUGGACAAUGGGCGCAAGCCUGAUCCAGCCAUACCGCGUGGGUGAAGAAGGCCUUCGGGUUGUAAAGCCCUUUUGUUGGGAAAGAAAAGCAGCAGGUUAAUACCCCGCUGUUCUGACGGUACCCAAAGAAUAAGCACCGGCUAACUUCGUG
This 492-nucleotide ribosomal RNA is filed under the name uncultured bacterium. RNAcentral's name for it is "partial 16S ribosomal RNA". It matches the Rfam family "Bacterial small subunit ribosomal RNA", at positions 29 to 507 of the family's 1533-position model. The record is from RNAcentral.